RNAcentral lists this ribosomal RNA (773 nucleotides) under uncultured Neocallimastigales. RNAcentral's name for it is "partial large subunit ribosomal RNA". It matches the Rfam family "Eukaryotic large subunit ribosomal RNA", at positions 26 to 644 of the family's 3401-position model. Lineage: Eukaryota; Fungi; Neocallimastigomycota; Neocallimastigomycetes; Neocallimastigales. The record is from RNAcentral.
CGCAUCUGUGCAUGCAGCAUAUCAAUAAGCGGAGGAAAAGAAACUAACAAGGAUUCCCCUAGUAACGGCGAGUGAAGCGGGAAGAGCUCAAAUUUGAAGUCUUAAAGGGUUUCCCUUUACGAAUUGUAGUUUAAAGAAGUGUUUUCUGUUGAGGUUUUGGUAAAAGUUCUUUGGAAUAGGACAUCAUAGAGGGUGAGAAUCCCGUAUUUGACCUUUACUUUCAACUUUGUGAUACACUUUCAAAGAGUCGGAUUGUUUGGGAAUGCAGUCCAAAAUGGGUGGUAAAUUCAUCUAAAGCUAAAUAUUGGCGAGAGACCGAUAGCGAACAAGUACCGUGAGGGAAAGAUGAAAAGAACUUUGAAAAGAGAGUUAAACAGUACGUGAAAUUGUCAAAAGGGAAGUGUUUGACACCAGUGUUGUUUUUCUGAAAAUCAAUUAAAGAACUGUUUAUGCUAAGCUGUUUAGACUUUAUCAGCUAUCUGUUUAGUUUUGAGCUUUUCUUUAAUACACUUUUCAGUUAACAAGUCAACAUCAAUUUCUUUUGCUGUAAAAAAGCUUGAGGAAGGUGGCUUGAGAUUCGUCUUAAGUGUUUAUAGCCUCUUGCCUAUGCAGUCGGAGAGAUUGAGGUCUGCAGCGUAGAUCCUUCGGGGCUAAAUGCAUUUGUGCUAAGUUAUAGCAUUUUAUAGACAACUUGUUGACUAUGAUUUGUCUUGUAGCUUACUCGCUUAUGUUAUUUUACCUACGCUUAGGAUGUUGAAUCUGUGCGAGACUAC